UACGGAGGAUGCGAGCGUUAUCCGGAUUUACUGGGUGUAAAGGGAGCGCAGACGGAACUGCAAGUCUGAUGUGAAAGCCCGGGGCUCAACCGCGGGACUGCAUUGGAAACUGUAGAUCUGGAGUGCCGGAGGGGCAAGCGGAAUUCCUGGUGUAGCGGUGAAAUGCGUAGAUAUCAGGAGGAACACCGGCGGCGAAGGCGGCUUGCUGGACGGCAACUGACGUUGAGGCUCGAAAGCGUGGGGAGCAAACAGGAUUAGAUACCCCGGUA
This 269-nucleotide ribosomal RNA is filed under the name uncultured prokaryote. Its description in RNAcentral is "partial 16S ribosomal RNA". It matches the Rfam family "Bacterial small subunit ribosomal RNA", at positions 524 to 792 of the family's 1533-position model. The record is from RNAcentral.